Molecule: ribosomal RNA, 405 nt
Filed under: Triticum aestivum (bread wheat)
Lineage: Eukaryota; Viridiplantae; Streptophyta; Magnoliopsida; Poales; Poaceae
Description: partial small subunit ribosomal RNA
Source: RNAcentral
AUGUCACAUCGAGCCGUGACUUUUAGACGUAGAAUUAUUGCAACUUUGAAUUUCUCUUUUACUACAUUUAUGUGCCUUGAAGAGUUCUGUGCUAGUGCUAGUGAUCUGGCUGGCAUCGGGUUCGGGUCAAAGGAGGCGUCGUUGUCAAGCAUCCAGCCGAGAAGCGGCACAAGGAAGGAGGAGUUGGACUGUCCAGUUGACCGCCCGGGACAGCGGGUGGUGGUGCGCCGGCGGCGGAUGGCCGGCCGGCCGGCAGUGCAACCCAUCAUCGGUGCACCUUUGCUUUUCCCCAAAGCGGCUCCGCCCUUGGCCUUGGUGGUGCGUGCAUCACAGGUCAGUACGUAUGGGCACAUGCCUCCCCUCCCGACUUUACGAGGAGAAAACAAUGUAAAGCAAGCAAAGUAG